GACGAACGCUGGCGGCGUGCUUAACACAUGCAAGUCGAACGGAAAGGCCCUGCUUUUGUGGGUUGCUCGAGUGGCGAACGGGUGAGUAACACGUGAGUAACCUGCCCUUGACUUUGGGAUAACUUCAGGAAACUGGGGCUAAUACCGGAUAGGAGCUCCUGCUGCAUGGUGGGGGUUGGAAAGUUUCGGCGGUUGGGGAUGGACUCGCGGCUUAUCAGCUUGUUGGUGGGGUAGUGGCUUACCAAGGCUUUGACGGGUAGCCGGCCUGAGAGGGUGACCGGCCACAUUGGGACUGAGAUACGGCCCAGACUCCUACGGGAGGCAGCAGUGGGGAAUAUUGCAGAAUGGGCGGAAGCCUGAUGCAGCAACGCCGCGUGCGGGAUGACGGCCUUCGGGUUGUAAACCGCUUUCGCCUGUGACGAAGCGUGAGUGACGGUAAUGGGUAAAGAAGCACCGGCUAACUACGUG
This 468-nucleotide ribosomal RNA is filed under the name uncultured bacterium. RNAcentral's name for it is "partial 16S ribosomal RNA". It matches the Rfam family "Bacterial small subunit ribosomal RNA", at positions 28 to 507 of the family's 1533-position model. The record is from RNAcentral.